Molecule: ribosomal RNA, 433 nt
Filed under: uncultured Pseudomonas sp.
Lineage: Bacteria; Pseudomonadati; Pseudomonadota; Gammaproteobacteria; Pseudomonadales; Pseudomonadaceae
Description: bacterial SSU rRNA
Rfam family: Bacterial small subunit ribosomal RNA
Source: RNAcentral
UUCGAAGCAACGCGAAGAACCUUACCAGGCCUUGACAUGCAGAGAACUUUCCAGAGAUGGAUUGGUGCCUUCGGGAACUCUGACACAGGUGCUGCAUGGCUGUCGUCAGCUCGUGUCGUGGGAUGUUGGGUUAAGUCCCGUAACGAGCGCAACCCUUGUCCUUAGUUACCAGCACGUUAUGGUGGGCACUCUAAGGAGACUGCCGGUGACAAACCGGAGGAAGGUGGGGAUGACGUCAAGUCAUCAUGGCCCUUACGGCCUGGGCUACACACGUGCUACAAUGGUCGGUACAAAGGGUUGCCAAGCCGCGAGGUGGAGCUAAUCCCAUAAAACCGAUCGUAGUCCGGAUCGCAGUCUGCAACUCGACUGCGUGAAGUCGGAAUCGCUAGUAAUCGUGAAUCAGAAUGUCACGGUGAAUACGUUCCCGGGCCUU